GUGGGGAAUUUUGCGCAAUGGGGAAACCCUGACGCAGCAACGCCGCGUGAGUGAUGAAGGCCUUCGGGUCGUAAAGCUCUGUCAGAGGGGAAGAAGUGUGAGGUGGCUAAUAUCCAUUUCACUUGACGGUACCUUCAAAGGAAGCACCGGCUAACUCCGUGCCAGCAGCCGCGGUAAUACGGAGGGUGCGAGCGUUGUUCGGAAUUAUUGGGCGUAAAGCGCGUGUAGGCGGUUUUUUAAGUCUGAUGUGAAAGCCCGGGGCUCAAACCGGGAAGUGCAUUGGAGACUGGGAGACUUGAAUACGGGAGAGGGCAGUGGAAUUCCUGGUGUAGGAGUGAAAUCCGUAGAUAUCAGGAGGAACACCGGUGGCGAAGGCGGCUGCCUGGACCGAUAUUGACGCUGAGACGCGAAAGCGUGGGGAGCAAACAGGAUUAGAUACCCGAGUAGUCC
This 450-nucleotide ribosomal RNA is filed under the name uncultured bacterium. RNAcentral describes it as "partial 16S ribosomal RNA". It matches the Rfam family "Bacterial small subunit ribosomal RNA", at positions 354 to 796 of the family's 1533-position model. The record is from RNAcentral.